GGGAAAUGGACUGCCGCCUCCC
RNAcentral lists this non-coding RNA (22 nucleotides) under Arabidopsis thaliana (thale cress). Lineage: Eukaryota; Viridiplantae; Streptophyta; Magnoliopsida; Brassicales; Brassicaceae. The record is from RNAcentral.